RNAcentral lists this ribosomal RNA (430 nucleotides) under Bacteroidota bacterium. RNAcentral describes it as "Bacteroidetes bacterium partial 16S ribosomal RNA". It matches the Rfam family "Bacterial small subunit ribosomal RNA", at positions 355 to 776 of the family's 1533-position model. The record is from RNAcentral. Lineage: Bacteria; Pseudomonadati; Bacteroidota.
UAGGGAAUCUUCGGCAAUGGGGGGAACCCUGACCGAGCAACGCCGCGUGAGUGAAGAAGGUUUUCGGAUCGUAAAGCUCUGUUGUUAAGGAAGAACGAGUGUGAGAAUGGAAAGUUCAUGCUUUGACGGUACUUAACCAGAAAGGGACGGCUAACUACGUGCCAGCAGCCGCGGUAAUACGUAGGUCCCGAGCGUUGUCCGGAUUUAUUGGGCGUAAAGCGAGCGCAGGCGGUCAAUUAAGUCUGAUGUGAAAGCCCCCGGCUCAACCGGGGAGGGUCAUUGGAAACUGGUUUACUUGAGUGCAGAAGAGGAGAGUGGAAUUCCAUGUGUAGCGGUGAAAUGCGUAGAUAUAUGGAGGAACACCAGUGGCGAAGGCGACUCUCUGGUCUGUAACUGACGCUGAGGCUCGAAAGCGUGGGUAGCAAACAGG